RNAcentral lists this ribosomal RNA (549 nucleotides) under uncultured bacterium. RNAcentral's name for it is "bacterial SSU rRNA". It matches the Rfam family "Bacterial small subunit ribosomal RNA", at positions 355 to 896 of the family's 1533-position model. The record is from RNAcentral.
UAGGGAAUCUUCGGCAAUGGACGGAAGUCUGACCGAGCAACGCCGCGUGAGUGAAGAAGGUUUUCGGAUCGUAAAGCUCUGUUGUAAGAGAAGAACGAGUGUGAGAGUGGAAAGUUCACACUGUGACGGUAUCUUACCAGAAAGGGACGGCUAACUACGUGCCAGCAGCCGCGGUAAUACGUAGGUCCCGAGCGUUGUCCGGAUUUAUUGGGCGUAAAGCGAGCGCAGGCGGUUAGAUAAGUCUGAAGUUAAAGGCUGUGGCUUAACCAUAGUACGCUUUGGAAACUGUUUAACUUGAGUGCAAGAGGGGAGAGUGGAAUUCCAUGUGUAGCGGUGAAAUGCGUAGAUAUAUGGAGGAACACCGGUGGCGAAAGCGGCUCUCUGGCUUGUAACUGACGCUGAGGCUCGAAAGCGUGGGGAGCAAACAGGAUUAGAUACCCUGGUAGUCCACGCCGUAACGAUGGGUGCUAGGUGUUAGACCCUUUCCGGGGUUUAGUGUCGCAGCUAACGCAUUAAGCACUCCGCCUGGGGAGUACGACCGCAAGGUUG